Molecule: non-coding RNA, 78 nt
Organism: Desmophyllum pertusum
Lineage: Eukaryota; Metazoa; Cnidaria; Anthozoa; Scleractinia; Caryophylliidae
Source: the annotation of a GenBank genome assembly
GGCUCCAACAGAAUUAGCUAAGUGGUAGAGCGUUUGUACCGGAAUCGGAAGCCAUGGGUUUGAGUCCCAUUGGAGCCU